UUAGCAAAUACUGACAGCGACGACCUGACGCCUGUCAGAUACGCCAAGCAUCUGGGCCCAUCCACCGAUCCACGCCCCCUUCCAUUGAAAAUAUCCGUUGUCUACUCUGUGACUCUCGUUCAUCUGGCCAUUGGAGAGAUCUUGAGCAUGCGGCGGCGGAAAUCCACCCUCUACCGUCCGCGGCAGCGAAGAUAGGGCCUCCUACAUGGAUGCUCCAGGCCCGUCGUCUGCCCCUGCUGGUCCGACCGGUAGUCUCCGGUUCCGGCGGCGAGCGCCCUCGAGAUCCGGACGGUAGCCUCCGGAUCCGGCGUCCCGGGGUCAAAUAUAUCCUACCGGCGGCGCCGGCCACCUCCAGAUCCGGCAUCCCCGACUCAAAACACCCCCGGUCUCACUUCAUCGCUACCUAACCCUGGUCCGUUAUGUACGCCCCACCUUCGAUGUUCAGCUCUCAUGCAGAUGAUCAGUUCUUGGAGGCGACUGCUUCCUGCUCCUUUUGAUUUAAGGGGGCCCUUGAUGCAAAAAACGUUGGCAAGGUGCAGACUUCGUAUUGGCAUAUGAGGAUGUUGCGUCUAAAUGUGGUGCAGUUGCUAAAGACGAUGCAUGGAAGUUGCAUGGCACCACAACAGAUCUGGGCUAGCAACUUGUCAUGUUCAGCGCGUGGCGACAAGAGCAAGCAGCCAGGAGUGUCCAGGACAGCCCCAGAUAUCUUGGCGACAGAUGGUGGCGAAUAUAUUAGAAAUGAUAGUAUGGUGAUUGCACUAUUGUUUUUCUUGCAUUAUCUUCCCUUGUGCAACUAGAUUUGAGCACCAACACGAGAUGUGCUUUAUGUAUGAUUUCAUAAUGUUGUUUCAACCUUUGUCAUUUACAAAUUCUUUCGGGGAACUUGCUUGACUUAUCUGAAACGGUUGUUAACAUGGUUCAGUUUCAGUGUCAACCACUUGCAUUUUGUGACAUCCAGCUGAA
This is a non-coding RNA of Lolium perenne, 963 nucleotides long. Lineage: Eukaryota; Viridiplantae; Streptophyta; Magnoliopsida; Poales; Poaceae. The record is from RefSeq and is a predicted model, not a curated record.